UUUUCAGCAGCCGCGGUAAUACGUAGGUGACAAGCGUUGUCCGGAUUUACUGGGCGUAAAGAGCGCGCAGGCGGUCGUUCAAGUCGAGUGUGAAAGCCCCCGGCUCAACUGGGGAGGGUCAUUCGAUACUGAUCGACUCGAAGGCAGGAGAGGGAAGUGGAAUUCCCGGUGUAGUGGUGAAAUGCGUAGAUAUCGGGAGGAACACCAGUGGCGAAGGCGACUUCCUGGCCUGUUCUUGACGCUGAGGCGCGAAAGCUAGGGGAGCAAACGGGAUUAGAUACCCGCGUAGUCC
Molecule: ribosomal RNA, 292 nt
Filed under: uncultured bacterium
Lineage: Bacteria
Description: partial 16S ribosomal RNA
Rfam family: Bacterial small subunit ribosomal RNA
Source: RNAcentral